AACGCGAAGAACCUUACCCACCUUUGACAUGUUCGGAACCCUUUAGAGAUAGGGGAGUGCUCGAAAGAGAGCCGAUACACAGGUGCUGCAUGGCUGUCGUCAGCUCGUGUCGUGAGAUGUUGGGUUAAGUCCCGCAACGAGCGCAACCCUUGUCAUUAGUUGCUACGAAAGGGCACUCUAAUGAGACUGCCGGUGACAAACCGGAGGAAGGUGGGGAUGACGUCAAGUCCUCAUGGCCCUUAUAGGUGGGGCUACACACGUCAUACAAUGGCUGGUACAAAGGGUUGCCAACCCGCGAGGGGGAGCUAAUCCCAUAAAGCCAGUCGUAGUCCGGAUCGCAGUCUGCAACUCGACUGCGUGAAGUCGGAAUCGCUAGUAAUCGUGAUCAGAA
Molecule: ribosomal RNA, 391 nt
Filed under: uncultured bacterium
Lineage: Bacteria
Description: bacterial SSU rRNA
Rfam family: Bacterial small subunit ribosomal RNA
Source: RNAcentral